GACGAACGCUGGCGGCGUGCUUAACACAUGCAAGUCGAACGGAAAGGCCCUGCUUUUGUGGGGUGCUCGAGUGGCGAACGGGUGAGUAACACGUGAGUAACCUGCCCUUGACUUUGGGAUAACUUCAGGAAACUGGGGCUAAUACCGGAUAGGAGCUCCUGCUGCAUGGUGGGGGUUGGAAAGUUUCGGCGGUUGGGGAUGGACUCGCGGCUUAUCAGCUUGUUGGUGGGGUAGUGGCUUACCAAGGCUUUGACGGGUAGCCGGCCUGAGAGGGUGACCGGCCACAUUGGGACUGAGAUACGGCCCAGACUCCUACGGGAGGCAGCAGUGGGGAAUAUUGCACAAUGGGCGGAAGCCUGAUGCAGCAACGCCGCGUGCGGGAUGACGGCCUUCGGGUUGUAAACCGCUUUCGCCUGUGACGAAACGUGAGUGUCGGUAAUGGGUAAAGAAGCACCGGCUAACUACGUG
This 468-nucleotide ribosomal RNA is filed under the name uncultured bacterium. Its description in RNAcentral is "partial 16S ribosomal RNA". It matches the Rfam family "Bacterial small subunit ribosomal RNA", at positions 28 to 507 of the family's 1533-position model. The record is from RNAcentral.